AGAUCUGUAAGCUCAAAUUGGUAGAGCGCUCUUCUUCAUUGGAAGUUGAGAGGUUGGUGGUUCGAAUCCACCCAGAUUUG
Molecule: transfer RNA, 80 nt
Organism: Eutrema salsugineum
Lineage: Eukaryota; Viridiplantae; Streptophyta; Magnoliopsida; Brassicales; Brassicaceae
Rfam family: tRNA
About the family: Transfer RNA (tRNA) molecules are approximately 80 nucleotides in length. Their secondary structure includes four short double-helical elements and three loops (D, anti-codon, and T loops).
Source: Rfam